AUUGAACGCUGGCGGCAUGCCUUACACAUGCAAGUCGAACGGCAGCACGGGUGCUUGCACCUGGUGGCGAGUGGCGAACGGGUGAGUAAUACAUCGGAACAUGUCCUGUAGUGGGGGAUAGCCCGGCGAAAGCCGGAUUAAUACCGCAUACGAUCUACGGAUGAAAGCGGGGGACCUUCGGGCCUCGCGCUAUAGGGUUGGCCGAUGGCUGAUUAGCUAGUUGGUGGGGUAAAGGCCUACCAAGGCGACGAUCAGUAGCUGGUCUGAGAGGACGACCAGCCACUGUGAGUGAGACACGCGGCCGAGACUCCUGCGAGGCGCCGGAGUGGAAAAUUGUACACAAUGCGCAAACGUGUGAUCCAACAGUGCCGCGUGUGAAGAAGGCCUUCGGGUUGUAAAGCACUUUUGUCCGGAAAGAAAUCCUUGGCCCUAAUACGGUCGGGGGAUGACGGUACCGGAAGAAUAAGCACCGGCUAACUACGUG
Molecule: ribosomal RNA, 484 nt
Filed under: uncultured bacterium
Lineage: Bacteria
Description: partial 16S ribosomal RNA
Rfam family: Bacterial small subunit ribosomal RNA
Source: RNAcentral